This is a non-coding RNA of Vicia faba (fava bean), 216 nucleotides long. Lineage: Eukaryota; Viridiplantae; Streptophyta; Magnoliopsida; Fabales; Fabaceae. The record is from the annotation of a GenBank genome assembly.
AUGGAUGGAGUCUCUACAUCUGAUCCAAGCCAAGAAGAAGCACGGAAAUCAGAUUCUAGUUGCCCUCACACUAUCACCGGGAACACCGGUUCAUUCGUGAAGCACCUUCGAAAGUGGGAAGGAUCUAGAAAAGUUGUGGACAAAAGUGGUAAUUUAAAAACUGAAGAGAAUUCUAGAAAAAUCAGAGCAAAAUGGAUAAUUGAGGAGGGGUUUUAA